RNAcentral lists this signal recognition particle RNA (298 nucleotides) under Cebus imitator (Panamanian white-faced capuchin). Its description in RNAcentral is "Metazoan signal recognition particle RNA (ENSCCAG00000007957.1)". It matches the Rfam family "Metazoan signal recognition particle RNA". Rfam says of the family: The signal recognition particle (SRP) is a universally conserved ribonucleoprotein. It is involved in the co-translational targeting of proteins to membranes. The record is from RNAcentral. Lineage: Eukaryota; Metazoa; Chordata; Mammalia; Primates; Cebidae.
GCCAGGCACGGUGGUGCAUGUCUGUAGUCCCAGCUAUUUGGGAGGCUGAGGCUGGAGGAUCCUGAGUCCCAGGAGGUCUGGGCUGUAGUGUGCUAUGCCGAUUGGGUGUCUGCACUAAGUUCAGCAUCAAUAUGUUGACCUCCCAGGAGUGGGGGACCACUAGGUUGUCUAAGGAGGGGUGAACUGGCCCAGGUCGGAAAUGGAGGAGGUCAAAACUCCCGUGCUGAUCAGUAGUGGGAUCGUGCCUGUGAAUAGCCACUGCACUCCAGCCUGGGCAACAUAGCAAGACCCUGUCUCU